Molecule: ribosomal RNA, 284 nt
Filed under: uncultured Glomeraceae
Lineage: Eukaryota; Fungi; Glomeromycota; Glomeromycetes; Glomerales; Glomeraceae
Description: partial 28S ribosomal RNA
Source: RNAcentral
GAGAGUUAAACAGUACGUGAAAUUGUUGAAAGGGAAACGAUUGAAGUCAGUCAUACUAACGGGAAAUCAACCUCUUGAGUUUGGUCUCGUAUCGAAGUGUUAUAGACUCUGGUAGAUGUGACGAUUGGGAUUGAGGAUUGCAACGGAUACCCUUCGGGGCUACUCGUCUGAUCUCUGAAGGUUGCUCCGGUACCGAAAGCGUGCUUACGGUCAUCGAAAGUGAUUUUCAAAAGGUUAGAACGGGUUAAAUUCGUUAAGGAUGUUGACGUAAUGGCUUUAAACGA